GACGAACGCUGGCGGCGUGCUUAACACAUGCAAGUCGAACGGAAAGGCCCUGCUUUUGUGGGGUGCUCGAGUGGCGAACGGGUGAGUAACACGUGAGUAACCUGCCCUUGACUUUGGGAUAACUUCAGGAAACUGGGGCUAAUACCGGAUAGCAUCUCCUGCUGCAUGGUGGGGGUUGGAAAGUUUCGGCGGUUGGGGAUGGACUCGCGGCUUAUCAGCUUGUUGGUGGGGUAGUGGCUUACCAAGGCUUUGACGGGUAGCCGGCCUGAGUGGGUGACCGGCCACAUUGGGACUGCGAUACGGACCAGACUCCUACGGGAGGCAGCAGUGGGGAAUAUUGCACAAUGGGCGGAAGCCUGAUGCAGCAACGCCGCGUGCGGGAUGACGGCCUUCGGGUUGUAAACCGCUUUCGCUUGUGACGAAGCGUGAGUGACGGUAAUGGGUAAAGAAGCACCGGCUAGCUACGUG
Molecule: ribosomal RNA, 468 nt
Filed under: uncultured bacterium
Lineage: Bacteria
Description: partial 16S ribosomal RNA
Rfam family: Bacterial small subunit ribosomal RNA
Source: RNAcentral